Molecule: unclassified non-coding RNA, 248 nt
Filed under: uncultured Alphaproteobacteria bacterium
Lineage: Bacteria; Pseudomonadati; Pseudomonadota; Alphaproteobacteria
Description: contains 16S-23S intergenic spacer region
Source: RNAcentral
UCCGGCUUAUCACCGGCCAAUUGAAGAGCUCCGUCUCCGGAGCCCCGACCGGGAAGUCAAGGGCUGGUAAGGUUCUUCGCGUUGCCUCGAAUUAAACCACAUGCUCCACCGCUUGUGCGGGCCCCCGUCAAUUCCUUUGAGUUUUAAUCUUGCGACCGUACUUCCCAGGCGGGAUACUUACUGCGUUAGCUGCGGCACCGGCGGUAACCCGCCGACACUUAGUAUCCAUCGUUUACGGCGUGGACUAC